Molecule: ribosomal RNA, 506 nt
Filed under: uncultured bacterium
Lineage: Bacteria
Description: partial 16S ribosomal RNA
Rfam family: Bacterial small subunit ribosomal RNA
Source: RNAcentral
AUUGAACGCUGGCGGCAGGCCAAACACAUGCAAGUCGAACGGUAACAGAAAGCAGCUUGCUGCUUCGCUGACGAGUGGCGGACGGGUGAGUAAUGUCUGGGAAACUGCCUGAUGGAGGGGGAUAACUACUGGAAACGGUAGCUAAUACCGCAUAAUGUCGCAAGACCAAAGAGGGGGACCUUCGGGCCUCUUGCCAUCGGAUGUGCCCAGAUGGGAUUAGCUAGUAGGUGGGGUAAUGGCUCACCUAGGCGACGAUCCCUAGCUGGUCUGAGAGGAUGACCAGCCACACUGGAACUGAGACACGGUCCAGACUCCUACGGGAGGCAGCAGUGGGGAAUAUUGCACAAUGGGCGCAAGCCUGAUGCAGCCAUGCCGCGUGUAUGAAGAAGGCCUUCGGGUUGUAAAGUACUUUCAGCGAGGAGGAAGGCAUUGUGGUUAAUAACCACAGUGAUUGACGUUACUCGCAGAAGAAGCACCGGCUAACUCCGUGCCAGCAGCCGCCGCAG